This 422-nucleotide ribosomal RNA is filed under the name uncultured prokaryote. RNAcentral describes it as "bacterial SSU rRNA". It matches the Rfam family "Bacterial small subunit ribosomal RNA", at positions 338 to 774 of the family's 1533-position model. The record is from RNAcentral.
CCUACGGGGGGCAGCAAUUAGGAAUCUUGCGCAAUGGGCGAAAGCCUGACGCAGCGACGCCGCGUGACUGAUGAAGUCUUUCGGGAUGUAAAGGUCUUUUGUUGGGGACGAAGGAAGUGACGGUACCCGACGAAUAAGCCCCGGCUAACUACGUGCCAGCAGCCGCGGUAAUACGUAGGGGGCGAGCGUUGUCCGAAUUCCCUGGGCGUAAAGCGCGCGUAGGCGGGUGAUUAAGUUGUGGGUGAAAUGCCGAGGCUCAACCUCGGAACUGCCGGUAAAACUGGUUACCUAGAGGUAUGGAGAGGGAAGUGGAAUUCCAGGUGUAGCGGUGAAAUGCGUAGAUAUCUGGAGGAACACCCGUGGCGAAGGCGGCUUCCUGGCCAUAUCCUGACGCUGAUGUGCGAAAGCUAGGGUAGCGAACG